Molecule: long non-coding RNA, 296 nt
Organism: Dermacentor albipictus
Lineage: Eukaryota; Metazoa; Arthropoda; Arachnida; Ixodida; Ixodidae
Source: RefSeq, a predicted model, not a curated record
CAGGCAAUUUGACCUAAAGUUCUACACUGACGAGCACUAUGGAGAAACACUCCUAGUCAAAGAUGCAUGGGACUCACUGCCAUACGGAAUAGAGGAUUUUCCAAGUUUGCACGCCAGCGAGGACUGCAUCAUUUUGGGAAAGAUGCCCCCAUAUGGACAGUUAACGGAAUGCACCUACUGGGUUCGCAGAGGUGUUGUCGGAAAUCGCAAUUGGAAAUGUGACUUCAUAUUCGACCACUUUUGCAAGAGACCAGCGAUUGUAGUAAAUAAAGACAACCUAAAGUAUUGUAAUUAAA